UGGGGAAUAUUGGACAAUGGGCGAAAGCCUGAUCCAGCCAUGCCGCGUGUGUGAAGAAGGUCUUCGGAUUGUAAAGCACUUUAAGUUGGGAGGAAGGGCAGUAAGCGAAUACCUUGCUGUUUUGACGUUACCGACAGAAUAAGCACCGGCUAACUCUGUGCCAGCAGCCGCGGGAAUACAGAGGGUGCAAGCGUUAAUCGGAAUUACUGGGCGUAAUGCGCGCGUAGGUGGUUCGUUAAGUUGAAUGUGAAAGCCCCGGGCUCAACCUGGGAACUACAUCCAGAACUGGCGAGCUAGAGUAGGGCAGGGGGUGGUGGAAUUUCCUGUGUGGCGGUGAAAUGCGUAGAUAUAGGUAGGAACACCAGUGGCGAAGGCGACCACCUGGGCUCAUACUGACACUGAGGUGCGAAAGCGUGGGGAGCAAACAGG
RNAcentral lists this ribosomal RNA (429 nucleotides) under Pseudomonadota bacterium. RNAcentral's name for it is "Proteobacteria bacterium partial 16S ribosomal RNA". It matches the Rfam family "Bacterial small subunit ribosomal RNA", at positions 355 to 776 of the family's 1533-position model. The record is from RNAcentral. Lineage: Bacteria; Pseudomonadati; Pseudomonadota.